GACGAACGCUGGCGGCGUGCUUAACACAUGCAAGUCGUGCGGUAAGGCCCUUUCGGGGGUACACGAGCGGCGAACGGGUGAGUAACACGUGAGCAACCUGCCCUUCAUUUUGGGAUAACUGCCGGAAACGGUGGCUAAUACCGGAUAUGACUUCCUCACGCAUGUGGGGUGGUGGAAAGCCUUCGGGUGGUGGGGGAUGGGCUCGCGGUCUAUCAGCUUGUUGGUGGGGUGAUGGCCUACCAAGGCUUCGACGGGUAGCCGGCCUGAGAGGGUGACCGGCCACACUGGGACUGAGACACGGACCAGACUCCUACGGGAGGCAGCAGUGGGGAAUAUUGGACAAUGGGCGAAAGCCUGAGCCAGCAACGCCGCGUUAGGGAUGACGUCCUGCGGGUUAUAAACCUCUUUCGCCUGCGACGAAGCGAGAGUGACGGUAGCAGGUAAAGAAGCACCGGCCAACUACGUG
Molecule: ribosomal RNA, 466 nt
Filed under: uncultured bacterium
Lineage: Bacteria
Description: partial 16S ribosomal RNA
Rfam family: Bacterial small subunit ribosomal RNA
Source: RNAcentral